This is a long non-coding RNA of Octopus bimaculoides (California two-spot octopus), 1120 nucleotides long. NCBI's taxonomy places the organism in Eukaryota, Metazoa, Mollusca, Cephalopoda, Octopoda, Octopodidae. The record is from RefSeq and is a predicted model, not a curated record.
GCCAAAAUAGGAUACGCCAGAAAUGAACUUGCACGCAUCCAAGGCAAGUGCAGCAGAACGGAGGACAAGGUGACCCACACUAUACGCUUCCUAGAUAUAUUGAAAACCAACGGGUAUCCUAGAUCCAUUGUAAAUUGGCAUAAGUAUCCAAGACGACUAACAUGCCGAGCACAUAGAAAACCCAGCAACACAUGCUUCCUUAAAAUACCCCCUUUUAGCGAGAGGAUAACUACAGCCAUCCGAAGAGCCAUAAGAAGAGAAGGGCUAGACAUAUAACUAGCCCACUCCGGCCCCUCACUGAGAGGACACCUCGCAAAGAAACGAAUAAGGGACAACAAUCAAUGCACAUUAACAAAUUGUCCCAUCCGUGACACAGAUUUAUGCCAACGGGUAAAUGUUGUGUAUAGAAUACAAUGUAACAAAUGCAACAAGUUAUGUGUGAGUAGCACAACAAGACCGUUACACGUCCGCAUCAAAGAGCAUCUGAACACGAGAGCCUCCUCCUUCAGAAAACAUCUAGACAGAUGCCGGAAUACUGACAAAAGCAUAACAGUCACAAUUGAGGCCAAUGAAAGAAAUUUGGGUAAUCUAAGAAUUAAGGAAGCUUUACUCAUACACAUACUAGGACCCCAAAUUAACAACAGGCUGGAGGUUGGUAAUCAAUAUAUUAUUUAGCUACAUCUGGAUGUGUGUAGGUUCAUUCUUAAUAAGAUGCUCAUGUAUUGUUUAUAACAAGAAAAAAGAGGAGAAAAAAAAGGUAAAAAUAGAGAAGCUGCACGUAUAACACAUAAUUUAGAAGCAGCGCUACAGAUGUACCAACACACACGAGAUUGAAACAUAGCCGGACCUCACGCACUUCUCAUGAGGAAUUCCGGAAGGAGCUUCGCGAGACCACUACUGAGACGCUUCCGAAAAAAAGAAAAGCCGUUGGAAAACAGUUUAUAGCAGAGACUCCAUCUAAGAAUAUCUGAAGAAGGAAUUGUAUUCCGAAAUAUCAUCGGACUAUAGAUAACUAAAUUACAACAGAUCUGCUGCCCUGAGCUUAUGGUGUCAAUAUUGGCAAUUAUCUGAUGAAGAAGCAGAACGAAAAGCAAAUAAACAUAAUAUCGUAAUUACAUCA